UACGUAGGUGGCAAGCGUUGUCCGGAUUUACUGGGCGUAAAGAGCGCGCAGGCGGUCGUUCAAGUCGCGUGUGAAAGCCCCCGGCUCAACUGGGGAGGGUCACGCGAUACUGAUCGACUCGAAGGCAGAAGAGGGAAGCGGAAUUCCCGGUGUAGUGGUGAAAUGCGUAGAUAUCGGGAGGAACACCAGUGGCGAAGGCGGCUUUCUGGUCUGCUCUUGACGCUGAGGCGCGAAAGCUAGGGUAGCAAACGGG
RNAcentral lists this ribosomal RNA (253 nucleotides) under uncultured bacterium. Its description in RNAcentral is "partial 16S ribosomal RNA". It matches the Rfam family "Bacterial small subunit ribosomal RNA", at positions 524 to 776 of the family's 1533-position model. The record is from RNAcentral.